AGUGGUAUAGUCUAAUGGUAAGACAGCAUGACAAGUGUAAUACGUGGGUUCGAUUCCCAAUACUGCUU
This is a transfer RNA of 68 nucleotides. It matches the Rfam family "tRNA". Rfam says of the family: Transfer RNA (tRNA) molecules are approximately 80 nucleotides in length. Their secondary structure includes four short double-helical elements and three loops (D, anti-codon, and T loops). Further hydrogen bonds mediate the characteristic L-shaped molecular structure. tRNAs have two regions of fundamental functional importance: the anti-codon, which is responsible for specific mRNA codon recognition, and the 3' end, to which the tRNAs corresponding amino acid is attached (by aminoacyl-tRNA synthetases). tRNAs cope with the degeneracy of the genetic code in two manners: having more than one tRNA (with a specific anti-codon) for a particular amino acid; and 'wobble' base-pairing, i.e. permitting non-standard base-pairing at the 3rd anti-codon position. The record is from Rfam.